RNAcentral lists this ribosomal RNA (2200 nucleotides) under Triticum aestivum (bread wheat). RNAcentral describes it as "partial small subunit ribosomal RNA". The record is from RNAcentral. Lineage: Eukaryota; Viridiplantae; Streptophyta; Magnoliopsida; Poales; Poaceae.
GUUUAGCCAGACGCGCACUACGUGUAGGAUUCAUAUGGAUCAUAUGCGUCAGAUCAAUCUAUUUUUGGGCCCACACAUUGAUCUUCACCCGACCUUAUCUUCUCAGCAGAAUAUCCUCCUCCACUCGUUUUAUUUCCUCUCUCUCCUUCGUUCUCCUCCAAUUGAUCCCCUUUUUCUCACCCCUUGCCAUGAACGCCACACCGCCAUGGAUGCGGCCUUCAAGCUACCCAUGUCCAUCCCCUCUCUACCUCCCUGCUGACACGCGUCCUCACCACCGCCUCCCGCAAAGCCUGCAUUGAGGCGAUGACGAGCUGCUCUGUCCCUCCCUCCCCUGUGAGCUUGAGGCGAUGGCGCUCUCUCACCGUGCGGCUGUGACACUAUUUGUUUUGCAAGACACCGUGCUUCCUGUUAUGGCUUUGUUUUUUAUUUUUAGCCGGUUGCAGCUUUUUGAUUUGUCGAUUCCAGCUUUUUAUUUCGCUGGUUGUAGAAAUUUCAUUCACGAGCACCAAACUUUGAUUAGUUGGUUCCAACAUUUUUUCCAGCUGGUAGUAGCUUUUCACGUCGCUGGUUUCAAUUUUUGAUUUCGCCGGUCGCAACAUCCCCCUUUUUGUUAGUAGCAACUUUUUGAUUCACACGUUGUAGCAUUUUAUUUCGUCAGUAGUAGCUGUUUGCUGGAGGAAGGGGAUCGAUGAAGAUUUUUAUUUGCUACAACCUUGUACCACAGAAGCUUCAACCAUGUGUGCCAGAGCUGCAAGCCGUGUACAUCAGAGCUACAACCGGAGACGCCCGUCGCCAGCGAGGCUGCAACCGGCAUGGGCCAAGGUGCAAGCGACACAACGGCAAGCUCCAAACCUGGUGGAUCACCAUGCCGGCGAGGGGAGCUGCAUCCAUGGUGGCGAGUAGCUAGAACCGUCUUUUAUUUUUUCCUACGACCGACCAAAUGUUUUGCUACGCUCCAGCGACGAAGGUCCAUGGUUUUGCUGGAACCGGCAAAUUUUUUGCGUCAACUGACUUUUUUUUGUUUUCUUAGUUGCCCAGUUUUUUUUGCAGGAACAUAGUGCUGUAAAAUCGACGACGACGGUGAGCCGUAGGCGGCGACGCCGUGCUUCGAUGGGGCGCACAAGCUGCUGGAACCGGCUUUGGCCGCAAGCUCCAUUAGGCUUUCAGUGGAGCUGCACAUGACAGAUGGGUGUGUUGGGAAAUAAGCCGCGGCGGCGAGCCGGGCGCGACCGGUGCGUGUUAUGGGUGCGCAUCAGACGCGUCUUGCGCGUCGGGACCGCGGGCGUGUGUGCGUGCGUGUGGUGCACGGGGUGGCUGUGCAGGUUAGACACCGUGCGUGUGUGCGUGUAGACUAGGUCAGGACGUGAUCCGAGCGCAGCGGGAGCGCGUGAUCGUUGAGGGCUCGGCGCAAGGCGCGCACGCGGAGCGCAUCGCGGGGCGUGCAGAGCAGGCCGAUCGGAGCGCGUGAGUGGGCAGGAGCGAGUGGGUCGUUGCACAGCUUGGCCCGGGUAUAAAGCUCGCGGUGGCGAUCAUUGUAAUGGCGUGGUGUGGAUAUUGAGUUUGUGCUCAGGGAGGCGUACAUGCGCCAGCAAAAACACCACCGUGUCUUGGUUCUUCUUCCUCCUUCUUCCUCGUCUUCGUUGCUUCACGCCACGGCCAGAGAGAGAGAGAGAGGUCAGUGUGAGAGAGAGAGAGGUCAGUGAGAGUGAGAGGAGAGCUAGGGCUAGGGCUAGCGGUUCCAACAAUUGGCAUCAGAGCCACGUGAAGAUCAGGGCGCGCCGGCGAUGUCGAUCGUUCCGUACGCCGGUGGAGCGGGCGGCUCUGUGUCAAAUCCGGCGCUUGUGCUCAGGGGGAGAACUACACCACCUGGGCCAUCAAGGUGGAGGCUGACCUGGACGCCGCCGGGCUGUGGGAGGCGGUGGUGCCGCCGGAGGACGCGAUGUCGGCGGUGAUCACCAAGAAAGAUAAGCCGACGAGGGCUUAUCUGCUCCGGGCGCUCGCCGACGAUCUUCUGCUGCAGGUGGCUGCGAAGAAGACGGCGGCGGAGAUAUGGAGCAGCCUCAAGGCCCGUUUCGUCGGGCCCGAUCACGUCAGGGCGGCGCGGCUGGGUGAUGACCCACAAGUGUAGGGGAUCAAUCGUAGUCCUUUCGAUAAGUAAGAGUGUCGAACCCAACGAGGAGCAGAAGGAAUUGAUAAGCGG